UUCUCGGGAAAAAUCUUACCUUGUUGUCAGUGUUACAAGCCCUUGCUUGUCAAAGGAUCAGCAGUAGGUAAGAAAACAACAUCUCGGGCUUUCUUGAACACUCUAAACAUGAAAAUGUCAUCCAAAACAGAGCAAAGGGAAGAACUGCAGAAGUACCAUACUCCAUACUCAUUUGAAGAAAAUUCUGAAGCGUGACUAUUAAAACAUUCAAGUAAUACUCAGGAAGUAAUACUCUGCUGA
This 240-nucleotide long non-coding RNA is filed under the name Calidris pugnax (ruff). RNAcentral describes it as "lncRNA (ENSCPUG00000012329.1)". Lineage: Eukaryota; Metazoa; Chordata; Aves; Charadriiformes; Scolopacidae. The record is from RNAcentral.